AGUGAACGCUGGCGGCAGGCCUAAUACAUGCAAGUCGAACGGCAGCACAGUGGAGCUUGCUCCAUGGGUGGCGAGUGGCGGACGGGUGAGGAAUACAUGGGAAUCUGCCCAGUCGUGGGGGAUAACGUAGGGAAACUUACGCUAAUACCGCAUGCGCCCUUCGGGGGAAAGCCGGGGACCUUCGGGCCUGGCGCGAUUGGAUGAGCCCAUGUUCGAUUAGCUAGUUGGCGGGGUAAAGGCCCACCAAGGCGACGAUCGAUAGCUGGUCUGAGAGGAUGAUCAGCCACACUGGGACUGAGACACGGCCCAGACUCCUACGGGAGGCAGCAGUAGGGAAUAUUGGACAAUGGGCGCAAGCCUGAUCCAGCCAUGCCGCGUGAGUGAAGAAGGCCCUCGGGUUGUAAAGCUCUUUUGUCCGAGAAGAAAAGCAUCGGGCUAAUACCUCGGUGUUCUGACGGUACCGGAAGAAUAAGCACCGGCUAACUUCGUG
Molecule: ribosomal RNA, 490 nt
Filed under: uncultured bacterium
Lineage: Bacteria
Description: partial 16S ribosomal RNA
Rfam family: Bacterial small subunit ribosomal RNA
Source: RNAcentral